UGCAGAAUGUGUUAAUGUGUAGUGAAUGCAGAGAGUGUGUUAGUGUGUAGUGGAUACAGAGUGUGUGUUAGUGUAGUGAAUGCAGAGAGUGUGUUAAUGUGUAGUGAAUGCAGAGAGUGUGUUAGUGUGUAGCGGAUGCAGAGUGUGUGUUAGUGUAGUGAAUGCAGAGAGUGUUAGUGUGUAGCGGAUGCAGAGUGUGUGUUAGUGUGUAGCGGAUGCAGAGUGUGUGUUAGUGUAGCGGAUGCAGAGUGUGUGUUAGUGUAGUGAAUGCAGAGUGUGUUAAUGUGUAGCGAAUGCAGAGUGUGUGUCAGUAUAGUGGAUGCAGAGUGUGUGUUAGUGUGUAGCGGAUGCAGAGUGUGUGUUAGUGUAGUGAAUGCAGAGUGUGUUAAUGUGUAGC
This is a non-coding RNA of Pelobates cultripes (western spadefoot toad), 397 nucleotides long. NCBI's taxonomy places the organism in Eukaryota, Metazoa, Chordata, Amphibia, Anura, Pelobatidae. The record is from the annotation of a GenBank genome assembly.